Molecule: long non-coding RNA, 1260 nt
Organism: Papaver somniferum (opium poppy)
Lineage: Eukaryota; Viridiplantae; Streptophyta; Magnoliopsida; Ranunculales; Papaveraceae
Exons: 5
Source: RefSeq, a predicted model, not a curated record
CAUUCUUCUUUAAAUCGAUAAUAGAUUCGAGUAAUUGAUUAUUUUGACUCAUAGAAAAAUAAUUUAAGGGGUUUAUUACAUUUUUUUAUGAUUUUGAUUCAAUAAUUUUUAGCAAAAUUAGUUUUAAUCUUUGAUAAUUUAUAUAUGAUCGUGUUUCAAGUGUUUAAUGGUAAUGAUUUAGUUAAUUUUUUGUUUAUUGGUGUUGUAAUGGUGGUAGUAUAUGUGUGUUGUUAUGGUGGUGAUGGUGGAAGGUGUAGUUGCAGCAAUGGCAGUGGUGGUGGUUGCUGCAGCACAAGUGUUGGUGCUUGUCCUGAUGGUGGUGGUGGUGGAUGUUGUUUGUAGUGGAGGUGAUGGUGGUUAAUUUUUUUUUUGUAGUAGUGAGGGUGUGGUGUUGGUGAUAACAUCAUUGAUGUUGUUAGUAUAAAAGCAGCAAUAAAGUGGUAGUUGAGAUGGUGGCAGAUGCAAAAUGUGUAAUUGGUACGGGAUACAAUUGUUUGUUGUUGGCUAUGGUGGUGGUAUUGUAUGAUAAUGUUACUGUUUUGUAUUCUUGAAUCCAGGAUAAUCAGGCCAAUGAGCUUACACGCUGCUGCUUUAUUGGAUUACCAGAUCCCAGAGAGAGAUAGAGACGCAGAGGGGGUUGAAGAAAGAGGAAGAGAAUUCUGUGUGUUUAAAUAUGAUAUCUCCUCUUUCCAUUAAUUAAUGUUUCUUGCUCAAAUGAGUGUCCCAACUGCGAGAUAGGUACAUUUAAGGAUUCUACUAUAAUGAUUUUUUAUGGUGAUCUUGGGUUGAGCGAGGAUCACUUUAAAAUUGCCAGCGAGCACCAUUGAAAGUUGUUGCUGUAUGUUAUUCUCUGUAUUCAAAGAUGACUCUAUAUUUUGGGGACAACUUGAGAAAGUUGCUUUCACUUUUGGAGGCAACCUGAUCUAGUUGAUUCCGUAUGUGAAGGCAACUUGAGAAAUUAUGGUGGUAGUGGAUGUUGCAGUGGAGGUGGUUUGUUGUGUUAGCAGUAGUGAUGAUGGUAGUGGAUAUUGCAGUCGUGGUGAGUGUAGUUGCGGGAGACAAUAUGGACAUGUGUUGGAUGCGCUCAAACUACUAGGUUAAAAUGGUUGUUGCAGAGAUUACUGUUAACACAAGCUCCUUUGAAGAAUGAUCAGAAACGAUAUGUUGUUGAAUGCUUUUUCAAAGGAAAAUGAUUUCCUUUUGAAUCAACUUAUGCUCGUUUACAUUACCGGAGAUAACUUCUGCUAGUUGCUUCCGCUA